RNAcentral lists this ribosomal RNA (253 nucleotides) under uncultured bacterium. RNAcentral describes it as "partial 16S ribosomal RNA". It matches the Rfam family "Bacterial small subunit ribosomal RNA", at positions 524 to 776 of the family's 1533-position model. The record is from RNAcentral.
GACGGAGGAUGCAAGCGUUAUCCGGAAUGAUUGGGCGUAAAGCGUCCGCAGGUGGCAGUUCAAGUCUGCUGUCAAAGACCGGGGCUUAACUUCGGAAAGGCAGUGGAAACUGAACAGCUAGAGUAUGGUAGGGGCAGAGGGAAUUCCUGGUGUAGCGGUGAAAUGCGUAGAGAUCAGGAAGAACAUCGGCGGCGAAGGCGCUCUGCUGGACCAUAACUGACACUCAGGGACGAAAGCUAGGGGAGCGAAUGGG